Molecule: long non-coding RNA, 208 nt
Filed under: Brachypodium distachyon (stiff brome)
Lineage: Eukaryota; Viridiplantae; Streptophyta; Magnoliopsida; Poales; Poaceae
Description: long non-coding RNA (BDIS_LNC001644)
Source: RNAcentral
UAGGGCUUGGGUUUGAAUGUUCCUUAGUGUUUUGUUACUAGCUUUUCACCAAAAAAAAUUCACCCUUUUUUGUUAUUUCCGUGUUUGGCUAACCAAUUUUUUUUUUCAUGUGUAUUUUCUCAUAGCAGAUUAUAAAAUAAGUUCAGGUGUCAAACCGAGCCUAAAAGCUCCAACAACUUACUUACAUUUCGACUACCCAAAGCAAAAU